Molecule: non-coding RNA, 73 nt
Organism: Rhea pennata
Lineage: Eukaryota; Metazoa; Chordata; Aves; Rheiformes; Rheidae
Source: the annotation of a RefSeq genome assembly
GCUGAAAUAGCUCAGCUAGAAGAGCAUUAGACUGACAAUCUAAAGGGCCCUGGUUCAAGCCCAGGUUUCAGCA